CCUACGGGAGACAGCAGUAGGGAAUAUUGCUCAAUGGGGGAAACCCUGAAGCAGCAACGCCGCGUGGAGGAUGAAGGUUUUCGGGUUGUAAACUCCUUUUGUUAGAGGAGAUAAUGACGGUAUCUAACGAAUCAGCCCCGGCUAACGCCGUGCCAGCAGCCGCGGUCAUACGGGGGGUGCAAGCGUUACUCGGAAUCACUGGGCGUAAAGAGCGCGUAGGCGGGAUAGCAAGUCAGAUGUGAAAUCCUAUGGCUUAACCAUAGAACUGCAUUUGAAACUGUUAUUCUAGAGUAUGGGAGAGGUAGGUGGAAUUCUUGGUGUAGGGGUAAAAUCCGUAGAGAUCAAGAGGAAUACUCAUUGCGAAGGCGACAUGCUAGAACAUAACUGACGCUGAUGCGCGAAAGCGUGGGGAGCAAACAGGAUUAGAUACCCGAGUAGUC
RNAcentral lists this ribosomal RNA (440 nucleotides) under uncultured bacterium. RNAcentral's name for it is "partial 16S ribosomal RNA". It matches the Rfam family "Bacterial small subunit ribosomal RNA", at positions 338 to 795 of the family's 1533-position model. The record is from RNAcentral.